GGGGGCGACAGGCUUCGACAGGGGUCUUGUACGUCGAGCGGAUGUCAUGCCGGGCUCCUUCAUGCAGCUCGUUAAAAAGCGUGGAGAAACAACAAUUGCCAAUAACCAAGAAUUGGCUCUCGCUGCCUAAUUAAGCACCGAGCGUCUCGCCGCAAGUUGCUCAUGCGCGCGGAGUGAGAUGUCACACAGUUGAGCUGGCGCGCGGCUUCGGUCCGUGGUCGCGCGCGAGACCAAGUCGGACUAGCUCUCGCUGAGGUCUUGUCACUUCACUGACUCGGCGUUGAGCGAAAUCCGCAGGGCUCCGGCUCUGCGAAAAGAGAAGCGACUAAGCAUGUAGAGUCUUCCGGCGGCGGCCUUUGGAUCCGAGUUCAAUUCUCGGCGCCUCCACCA
RNAcentral lists this transfer-messenger RNA (390 nucleotides) under Acidobacteriota bacterium. Its description in RNAcentral is "Acidobacteria bacterium (rhizosphere metagenome) transfer-messenger RNA". It matches the Rfam family "transfer-messenger RNA". From Rfam's summary of the family: Bacterial tmRNA, also known as 10Sa RNA or SsrA, is named for its dual tRNA and mRNA-like properties. Its role is to liberate the mRNA from a stalled ribosome. Lineage: Bacteria; Pseudomonadati; Acidobacteriota. The record is from RNAcentral. RNAcentral also lists the same sequence under 1 other name.